UACUACGGGAGGCAGCAGUGGGGAAUCUUGGACAAUGGGCGCAAGCCUGAUCCAGCCAUGCCGCGUGAGUGAUGAAGGCCUUAGGGUCGUAAAGCUCUUUCGCCUGUGAAGAUAAUGACUGUAGCAGGUAAAGAAACCCCGGCUAACUCCGUGCCAGCAGCCGCGGUAAUACGGAGGGGGUUAGCGUUGUUCGGAAUUACUGGGCGUAAAGCGCGCGUAGGCGGACUGGAAAGUUGGGGGUGAAAUCCCAGGGCUCAACCCUGGAACUGCCUCCAAAACUAUCAGUCUAGAGUUCGAGAGAGGUGAGUGGAAUUCCGAGUGUAGAGGUGAAAUUCGUAGAUAUUCGGAGGAACACCAGUGGCGAAAGCGGCUCACUGGCUCAAUACUGACCCUGAGGUGCUAAAGUGUGGGGAGCCAACAGGAUUAGAUACCCUGGGAGUCCCC
This 444-nucleotide ribosomal RNA is filed under the name bacterium A6S_VP7_E5. Its description in RNAcentral is "bacterial SSU rRNA". It matches the Rfam family "Bacterial small subunit ribosomal RNA", at positions 337 to 798 of the family's 1533-position model. The record is from RNAcentral.